GCUUGCUACCUGACCUAGCGGCGGACGGGUGAGUAAUGCUUAGGAAUCUGCCUAUUAGUGGGGGACAACAUUCCGAAAGGAAUGCUAAUACCGCAUACGCCCUACGGGGGAAAGCAGGGGAUCUUCGGACCUUGCGCUAAUAGAUGAGCCUAAGUCAGAUUAGCUAGUUGGUGGGGUAAAGGCCUACCAAGGCGACGAUCUGUAGCGGGUCUGAGAGGAUGAUCCGCCACACUGGGACUGAGACACGGCCCAGACUCCUACGGGAGGCAGCAGUGGGGAAUAUUGGACAAUGGGCGAAAGCCUGAUCCAGCCAUGCCGCGUGUGUGAAGAAGGCCUUUUGGUUGUAAAGCACUUUAAGCGAGGAGGAGGCUACUUAGAUUAAUACUCUAGGAUAGUGGACGUUACUCGCAGAAUAAGCACCGGCUAACUCUGUGCCAGCAGCCGCGGUAAUACAGAGGGUGCGAGCGUUAAUCGGAUUUACUGGGCGUAAAGCGUGCGUAGGCGGCUUCUUAAGUCGGAUGUGAAAUCCCUGAGCUUAACUUAGGAAUUGCAUUCGAUACUGGGAAGCUAGAGUAUGGGAGAGGAUGGUAGAAUUCCAGGUGUAGCGGUGAAAUGCGUAGAGAUCUGGAGGAAUACCGAUGGCGAAGGCAGCCAUCUGGCCUAAUACUGACGCUGAGGUACGAAAGUAUGGGGAGCAAACAGGAUUAGAUACCCUGGUAGUCCAUGCCGUAAACGAUGUCUACUAGCCGUUGGGGCCUUUGAGGCUUUAGUGGCGCAGCUAACGCGAUAAGUAGACCGCCUGGGGAGUACGGUCGCAAGACUAAAACUCAAAUGAAUUGACGGGGGCCCGCACAAGCGGUGGAGCAUGUGGUUUAAUUCGAUGCAACGCGAAGAACCUUACCUGGUCUUGACAUAGUAAGAACUUUCCAGAGAUGGAUUGGUGCCUUCGGGAACUUACAUACAGGUGCUGCAUGGCUGUCGUCAGCUCGUGUCGUGAGAUGUUGGGUUAAGUCCCGCAACGAGCGCAACCCUUUUCCUUAUUUGCCAGCGGGUUAAGCCGGGAACUUUAAGGAUACUGCCAGUGACAAACUGGAGGAAGGCGGGGACGACGCCAAGUCAUCAUGGCCCUUACGACCAGGGCUACACACGUGCUACAAUGGUCGGUACAAAGGGUUGCUACCUAGCGAUAGGAUGCUAAUCUCAAAAAGCCGAUCGUAGUCCGGAUUGGAGUCUGCAACUCGACUCCAUGAAGUCGG
RNAcentral lists this ribosomal RNA (1256 nucleotides) under uncultured Acinetobacter sp. RNAcentral describes it as "bacterial SSU rRNA". It matches the Rfam family "Bacterial small subunit ribosomal RNA", at positions 78 to 1329 of the family's 1533-position model. The record is from RNAcentral. Lineage: Bacteria; Pseudomonadati; Pseudomonadota; Gammaproteobacteria; Moraxellales; Moraxellaceae.